RNAcentral lists this long non-coding RNA (370 nucleotides) under Bos taurus (domestic cattle). Its description in RNAcentral is "long non-coding RNA NONBTAT011502". Lineage: Eukaryota; Metazoa; Chordata; Mammalia; Artiodactyla; Bovidae. The record is from RNAcentral.
CAAAAUUUACCACAGUAGGACAAUGCCAGAGCCAGUCUUUUUUUUUUUAUAUAGAACAACAUAACUUUAAACUAUAAGAUGAUGAUUUUUAGAUGAACACAUCUUGAUUGAUUAAAAAGCUGUGUAUGUAGGAAGGGAAUGAAGUAGUAGCUUUACUUCACACUUUAAAAUUGUUUUCAAAAGUAGCCAAUUUUCAUGUAUAAAAAUAACCAUUUAUUCAACUCUAGGUCAAUGAAAGAUAAUUGGAAUUGUACCCAAGAAAACUAAAUCUUGAGUUUUGAUUUUCAACUAAUUAGCUUCUUGCUAAUAUCUGUGUUAAAUUUCAAGGACAAAGUUUAAAAUAUUUAGGAGAUACAUCUUCACAUUUAUA